RNAcentral lists this long non-coding RNA (319 nucleotides) under Ananas comosus (pineapple). RNAcentral's name for it is "long non-coding RNA (ACOM_LNC020216)". Lineage: Eukaryota; Viridiplantae; Streptophyta; Magnoliopsida; Poales; Bromeliaceae. The record is from RNAcentral.
UUAUUUAUUAUUUAUAAUUUUACUGAUUAUGAAGCACAACCAAAAAGAAAUAUAUAAAAUUCUUGUCUAUAUUAAACACUACUACAUAUCAAUGGCUUACGAACAAGUGUGAAUGCAUACAAAUACACUGAUCAUAACCGCUCGUUCUUAUUUGAGAUUUUUUUAAUAAACUGAUUAUAUACGUUUGUACAAAAUAUAAGAAAAAUAUUUCUUUUUGGAUUCCGUCUGUCUUUGUCAAAAUUCUUAUACGCUUUUAUAUAUAGUAUAGAUAUAAAUAAUAAAUAGGUGUUAUCUCAUUCGAUUGCAAUAAUCUCUGCUC